UUGAGGUAGAUGCCCCAUGAAUCCUUUGAAGCAAGGAUUAAAUCUAGACAAUCCCUGGAGAGGCAGCUCUGGCAGUGAACCUUCAACCACUGGAGUCCACGGAUCACCUGUCCCAGAUGUUACCGGAAUCACAAGCAUCCCACCUGGGCUUUCUAGAAACACAAUAAAUCAUGAGGUAAUCUGAACGUAAAUGGUACAGAAGCUUCGUCACCUAUGAUCAUGGAGAGUUUACUGCAGAUGAUGGCAUCGGCCGAGCACACGGUGCAGGAAUCCGGGCAGAGCAAAGAAAGCUGAACUUGUGUUACUGACACCAUCAGCAGCAGGAGGACACCUGACGAGCAUCAUCAUCAUCAUCCAUUAGCAUGGACUAAUUACAGUUUAACACAGCCACACAUUGUCCUCUAAUGAAACGCACACUGACACAAGAUGUCAAAGCUUUAGUUUUUAUCACAUUCAACAAGAGCAUUAAAUAUUUGCUUCAGGUCUACUGGAAGCUGGAAGAAAGCUAAAAAUGUGGAAAACAUUGAUGUCACUAGCACACACAUUGCUCUAAUCAUACUCACUUCUCAUGGUUUGUCAGUGAAUUGGUCACAUGGUGUUGCUCUCACGUCCCCGAGACAGUCGUUGUGGAUUCCUUCUGACAAUAUCUGACAAGAUUUUGAAAUAAAUUUAUUCAUUUAUUUAUACUUCACCAGUUUAUGCAGAUCUCUCACGUUCCACGCUGUUUUGUGUUUGCAGCAUCCUCAUGUCGCUCUGUGCUCCUGUUACGAAGCAGUGGUGAUAAAACAUGCAUGAUGCUCCAUCUGUUCUCCUCAGUAACGUAUACAAGGGAGUGUCUCGAGGUCAGGAUCUUCAAGGAUCAUCCAGUUUUCCAGUGAAAUCAGUCUGCUUACCUUACAAGAAGUCAAGAAUCAUCAUGAUUCCCGUAAUCCCAAUGGUUCCCAGUCUGUAUUCAGUCUGUUCCGGUGAAACUGAAGGUGUACAGGUAACAGGUAACACUCAGCUCAGCGUUGACGCCAGACUCGCAGUGUACUGUUACUGCUCUUUACCUGAGUGCCACCUGAUCUUACAGCCGUCUUUCACUGCGCCUGAGAGGCGAGGACACGAGUUCACUUUACCUUCAGCUC
Pangasianodon hypophthalmus (striped catfish) is the source of this 1127-nucleotide long non-coding RNA. RefSeq lists it as uncharacterized. Lineage: Eukaryota; Metazoa; Chordata; Actinopteri; Siluriformes; Pangasiidae. The record is from RefSeq and is a predicted model, not a curated record. The transcript is spliced from 3 exons.